UACGAAGGGGGCUAGCGUUGUUCGGAAUCACUGGGCGUAAAGCGCACGCAGGCGGAUUGAUAAGUCAGGGGUGAAAUCCCGGGGCUCAACCUCGGAAUUGCCUUUGAUACCGUCUGUCUUGAGUUCGGGAGAGGUUGGCGGAAUUCCUAGUGUAGAGGUGAAAUUCGUAGAUAUUAGGAAGAACACCAGUGGCGAAGGCGGCUCACUGGACCACAACUGACGCUGAGGCGCGAAAGCUAGGGGAGCAAACAGG
This 253-nucleotide ribosomal RNA is filed under the name uncultured bacterium. RNAcentral describes it as "partial 16S ribosomal RNA". It matches the Rfam family "Bacterial small subunit ribosomal RNA", at positions 524 to 776 of the family's 1533-position model. The record is from RNAcentral.